This 490-nucleotide long non-coding RNA is filed under the name Vigna radiata. Its description in RNAcentral is "long non-coding RNA (VRAD_LNC014348)". Lineage: Eukaryota; Viridiplantae; Streptophyta; Magnoliopsida; Fabales; Fabaceae. The record is from RNAcentral.
CUAUUGUUAAAUUCACUCUUGCAAUUUUAUUUUGGUUUUCACGCACUUUUUGAUUGAAGCAUGGUUCACGCUCUUNAUUUUAUUUGGAGAAGGAUGCAAUGAAUCAACGUNUGGGAGUGCAUUGAUUUUGAUUCUCUUUGCUUUGAAUUAGUAGGCGGUGCUUCAAAUUUUUUGGCUUAUGUGCCACGACCUACUAUUGUUGUCACGACACAUUGAAUGGAGAUGGAAACCUUGCUGGAGCACACACACGUCAGGGGNUGGUGAUUUAAUUUCAUUUAGGAAUGUAGAUAUUUUGAUUUCAUGCGGUGUUUUGCAUUUAAUUUGGUUCAGCAUUUAACUUCCUGAUUCAGCAAGUUAUGUUUUUCACUUUUAAUUCAACUUUAAAUUUAGGGGUAGCGCUGAUUCCAUUUACCAGAGAAAGCACAUUGCAUUUAUUUUUUUUCUUAUGGAAGGUAACAUAGUAAACUUUGCUUUUAAUUGCAAGUAGCAC